RNAcentral lists this long non-coding RNA (1241 nucleotides) under Salmo salar (Atlantic salmon). Its description in RNAcentral is "lncRNA (ENSSSAG00000093824.1)". The record is from RNAcentral. Lineage: Eukaryota; Metazoa; Chordata; Actinopteri; Salmoniformes; Salmonidae.
CUGAUCUACCCAACAUCACACAACCAAACUUCAUCAAGAUGCGUCAUACUCCUAAAUUUCAUCUACCGCCAUAACAUUCUGAUGGAGCUGUUUGAGUUACAAGGGAGGAUGGAGGAAUCAUCUGUCGCGUCAUCACUAAGGGACUGGGAUACGCCGAGCCUAAUGAAGGAGCUGCCGUAAAAGGUGGGCUAAAGGAGUUGGUGGAGGCAGAGCUGCAAGCCAGGGAUGAGAAAGGCCGUUAUUCAACGUUUUUUUUGUGAGACUAUUAUAGACAUAGACAAAGCUCAAAAGAGAGGAAAGUAUCUGUAUCAGAGGAGGCUAUGUGUUGGCAUGUCCCCCAUCUAGUCCUGUAUAGCUGACACUAAAUGGUCCUAAAGGCCCCAUUUACAUUUGACAUUUUAGUCAUUUAGCAGACACUCUUAUCCAGAGCGACUUACAGUUAGUGCUAUCAUCUUAAGAUAGCUAGGUGGGACAACCACAUCUCACAGCCCUGGGGGACACCAGUAGUGAGAGUCCGUGGUGCAGACACAAAUCCUCUCAACGUCAUCUGGUAGGAGCGGCCUGCCAGGUAGGAUGCAAACCAAGAGUCUGCAGAGCCUGAGAUACCCAUCCCUGAAAGGGUGGAGAGGAGGAUUUGAUGGUUCACGGAGUCGAAGGCAGCGGAUAGAUCUAGGAGGAUGAGAACAGAGAAGAGUCAGCUUUGGCAGUGCGGAAAGCCUCCGUAACAGAGAAGAACAGUCUCGAUUGAGUGACCCGUCGUGAAGCCUGACUGGCUAGAGUCAAGACGAUUGUUCUGAGAGAGAUAACGAGAAAGUUGAUCAGAGACAGCACGCUCAAGUGUUUUGGAAAGAUAAAAAAGAAAGGAUACAGGUCUAUAGUUUUUGACGUCAGAUGUUGUUUGGAUGUCAGAUGUUGGUCGAGUGUUGGUUUCUUGAGGAGGGGAGCAACUCGGGCCAUUUUGAAGUCAGAGGGGACACAGCCAGUGGUCAGGGAUGAGUUGAUGAGGGAAGUGAGGGAAGUGAGGAGUGGGAGAAGGCCUCCAGAGAUGGUCUGGAGGAGGGGAUGGGGUCAAGCAGGCAGAUUGUCAGGCGGCCAGACCUCACUAGUCGCAGGAUGUCAUCUGGAGAGAGUGGGGAGAAAGAGGUCAAGGCAUAGGGUACUUCUAUGUGAGUGAGACCAGUGGACUCAAUAGGCUGAGUGAAUGAGUAGCGGAUGUCGUCAAGCUUUUUUCAAAGUGGACC